AUUCCGUAAAAAAUCUUUAAAUGAUUUUCACAAAUUAGUUCUGCUUGUGUUUUAUAAAUUAAGCCCGGUUACAUUUAUUUUGGAAAAUGCAAUAAAAGUUGCAAACUAUAUUUUCAUUUCUUGAUCGCUAUGCUUCUUUUGUAUCAAUUUUAGAAGUCUGUAACCUUCGGCCUGGAGAUUUCUUGAGCCAUAAUAGCAUUAUGUUCUAGAACUAUUAAAAGAAGGUUCAUGAUUAAAAAGAACUUUCUCGAUGAAUCUAGAACCUGUUGAUCAGACUUGAUCUUUAAUCGCAUGACUGAACGAGUCUGGACGCGUGCAUUUAAUGAGAUGUAGUCGAGCUUCUUAAAACUGUAAAUAGUUGCAUAUCACAUUCUAAUAUCAGAAGUUUUAACGUUGUAGAUUUGUUUGUUUUCAGUCAUGUAUCGCUUUGCUUUUGUUUGUCCCGUUUCUAUUC
Molecule: long non-coding RNA, 454 nt
Organism: Rhinichthys klamathensis goyatoka
Lineage: Eukaryota; Metazoa; Chordata; Actinopteri; Cypriniformes; Leuciscidae
Exons: 2
Source: RefSeq, a predicted model, not a curated record